Molecule: ribosomal RNA, 393 nt
Filed under: uncultured bacterium
Lineage: Bacteria
Description: partial 16S ribosomal RNA
Rfam family: Bacterial small subunit ribosomal RNA
Source: RNAcentral
AUACGGAAGGUCCGGGCGUUAUCCGGAUUUAUUGGGUUUAAAGGGAGCGCAGGCGGAGAUGCAAGCGUGACGUCAAAUUUCGGGGCUCAACCCCGUCUCGCGUCGCGAACUGCGUCCCUUGGUUGCGGGAAGGGGAGGCGGAACUUGUGGGGGAGCGGGGAAAUGCAUAGAUAUCACGAAGAACCCCGAUCGCGAAGGCAGCCUUCCGGCCCGUCAACGACGCUCAUGCUCGAAGGUGCGGGUAUCAAACAGGAUUAGAUACCCUGGUAGUCCGCACAGUAAACGAUGGACACCCGCGGUUUGGCCUGUAUGGCUGAGCCGCCAAGCGAAAGCGUUAAGUGUCCCACCUGGGGAGUACGCCGGCAACGGUGAAACUCAAAGGAAUUGACGGGG